UACGUAGGUGGCAAGCGUUGUCCGGAUUUAUUGGGUUUAAAGGGUGCGUAGGCGGCCCUAUAAGUCAGUGCUGAAAUAUCCCGGCUUAACCGGGAGGGUGGCAUUGAUACUGUAGGGCUUGAGUAAAGUUGAGGUUGGCGGAAUUGACGGUGUAGCGGUGAAAUGCUUAGAUAUCGUCAAGAACACCGAUAGUGUAGACAGCUAACUAAGCUUUAACUGACGCUGAGGCACGAAAGUGUGGGGAUCAAACAGG
RNAcentral lists this ribosomal RNA (253 nucleotides) under uncultured bacterium. RNAcentral's name for it is "partial 16S ribosomal RNA". It matches the Rfam family "Bacterial small subunit ribosomal RNA", at positions 524 to 776 of the family's 1533-position model. The record is from RNAcentral.